This 460-nucleotide ribosomal RNA is filed under the name uncultured bacterium. RNAcentral describes it as "partial 16S ribosomal RNA". It matches the Rfam family "Bacterial small subunit ribosomal RNA", at positions 338 to 795 of the family's 1533-position model. The record is from RNAcentral.
CCUACGGGAGGCAGCAGUGAGGAAUAUUGGUCAAUGGGCGAGAGCCUGAACCAGCCAAGUAGCGUGAAGGAUGACUGCCCUACGGGUUGUAAACUUCUUUUGUACAGGAAUAACACGCUGCACGUGUGCCUUUUUGCAUGUACUUUAUGAAUAAGGAUCGGCUAACUCCGUGCCAGCAGCCGCGGUAAUACGGAGGAGCCGAGCGUUAUCCGGCUUUAUUGGGUUUAAAGGGAGCGUAGAUGGGUUGUUAAGUCAGUUGUGAAAGUUUGCGGCCCAACCGUAAAAUUGCAAUUGAUACUGGCAGGCUUGAGUACAGUUGAGGGAGGCGGAAUUCGUGGUGUAGCGGUGAAAUGCUUAGAUAUCACGAAGAACCCCGAUUGCGAAGGCAGCUUACUAAACUGCGACUGACAUUGAUGCUCGAAAGUGUGAGUAUCAAACAGGAUUAGAUACCCGAGUAGUC